RNAcentral lists this ribosomal RNA (429 nucleotides) under Bacteroidota bacterium. RNAcentral's name for it is "Bacteroidetes bacterium partial 16S ribosomal RNA". It matches the Rfam family "Bacterial small subunit ribosomal RNA", at positions 355 to 776 of the family's 1533-position model. Lineage: Bacteria; Pseudomonadati; Bacteroidota. The record is from RNAcentral.
UAGGGAAUCUUCGGCAAUGGGGGGAACCCUGACCGAGCAACGCCGCGUGAGUGAAGAAGGUUUUCGGAUCGUAAAGCUCUGUUGUUAAGGAAGAACGAGUGUGAGAAUGGAAAGUUCAUACUGUGACGGUACUUAACCAGAAAGGGACGGCUAACUACGUGCCAGCAGCCGCGGUAAUACGUAGGUCCCGAGCGUUGUCCGGAUUUAUUGGGCGUAAAGCGAGCGCAGGCGGUUAGAUAAGUCUGAAGUUAAAGGCAGUGGCUCAACCAUUGUAGGCUUUGGAAACUGUUUAACUUGAGUGCAGAAGGGGGGGAUGGAAUUCCGUGUGUAGCGGUGAAAUGCGUAGAUAUAUGGAGGAACACCGGUGGCGAAGGCGGCUCUCUGGUCUGUAACUGACGCUGAGGCUCGAAAGCGUGGGGAGCGAACAGG